UGAGCGGCGGGCGGUGAUGGCGGAGCCGGAGCCGGGCCUGGGGCGGGAUCUGGUGGCGGAGCUGCGGGGCCGCGACGGGCGGACGCGGACGGUGCGGGUGCCGUACCCGGCGGCGGAGGAGGGCGAGGCCGCCCAGCUGCGCGGGCUCCGGGGGGCCCUGAGCGAGCUGCAGGAGCGGGUGGUGGAGCUGCUGGCGCCGCUGGUGCAGGAGGAGCGGGCGGCGGCGGACGGCGCGCCGCGCGGUGGUGGCGGGGAUGACGACGACUACGAUGACGACGAGGAGGAUGAAGGUGAAGACGAAAACAACGUGGACGCGGCGGCGAGCGGCGAUGACCCUCCCCUGAAGAGGACCAAGGUGCAGCAGCCGUGAGGGCGGCGCUGGAGGCCGGAUCGGCGCCUUAGCCCCGUUGGGCUGUACCGACUAAGCCUUUCCGAAAGGAUGAGCCUGGGUGUGAGCAGCGUGUUGUUUACGGGGUGCCAGUGUUAUGCUGACACCAGUUUUCUUGGUAAAUUAGUUGGCAAGUAUAAAACUUUUAUGACAAAUCCUCUCAUUGGUAUGUUUUUUAAUAACUUAUUCCGAGUCACAGUAUUUUUUCAUGUGAUACCACUUUUAAAAUAAAGCAAUAAAACCUGAAAAGUUAUUUUGUCAAAUAAUAAUCUUUAAAAGUACAAGACAACUUGUGUUUGAAUGGACAGAAAGCAAUAUAAGACCACUAUAAGUAUCAAAAUUAACAAGCAUAUAUAGGACUGUGCCUGUUCCUGUACAAUCCUACAGAAGAUUAUUUUUGCCUACAAUCGACAAGGUUCAGUCACCUAUCAGUUAAGAAGCCUCUUUGAACAGGUAUAAAACACUCUUGAUAGUCACUCUCUAGAGCCUAAGAGUGUUCUGUAGAAGAAUUUAACUGCCUGAAUGAAUAGUGUAAAAAGCAUUUUGGGGGGUGUUGCCAUGAGUUUUUCCCGGUUUGCUGAGCGUUCUUAUUAAAGGAGAAGUUUGUACCUUCUCACGCUCUUUUAAUGUAAACAUCAGCUAUGUUCUAUAAACAUAGCCAUUGUUUUUACAUUCUCUGCUGGGACAAACAAGACUGUGUGACAGUCCCCUUCACCAAUGUGAUGUGGAGGUGGGAAUUCCUUCCUCCAAUCCACAGGCCUCAUAGUAAAAGUAUAAAAGUAGGUUUUGGUAAAUAAACCGGGGCUUCUGCCCUGCUGCUGUUGUUGCACCCAGAUCUGUGUCUCCAGUCUGUUUUCCUGGUUAGGCCUCCACGGUGAUAGGGGGGCUAUUUUCAUUUUUUUGUGUUCUCCUGACACAGUUUUUUUAUAUGUAAAACUGAGCAAAUCUUAAUACAUAUAUGUAGGAAGAAUGUGGAAAUAAAUGAACUUCUAUGAGGACCAAA
This is an RNA transcript of Prinia subflava (tawny-flanked prinia), 1391 nucleotides long. It is a transcript of the gene named GON7 subunit of KEOPS complex, with no coding region annotated. The transcript has 3 exons. The record is from RefSeq and is a predicted model, not a curated record. NCBI's taxonomy places the organism in Eukaryota, Metazoa, Chordata, Aves, Passeriformes, Cisticolidae.